Molecule: non-coding RNA, 1614 nt
Organism: Grus americana (Whooping crane)
Lineage: Eukaryota; Metazoa; Chordata; Aves; Gruiformes; Gruidae
Source: the annotation of a RefSeq genome assembly
UGGGGACUGGAGUACCACAAUGAUAUAAACAACAUAGCAUCCUGUACAAAAACUCAAAGAAGGAAAAAAGGCAAUAUAUUUUGGAGAAGAAAGGAGAUGGGUGACUGAAAUGAUUAAGGAGACAAAUACAAGAUUCUUUUUGUAUUUCUAUUUAUCCUGAAAAUAUAGAGCUCACAGGGUUUCUAAAAGAUGGAAGAAAGGGAGAACUUGGAAAUUUUGUACUCAAUCAAGCUAUUUGAAGUCAUUGAACUAUUCAAUUAUUGUUUUUCCCUUUCCAGUUUUGGAAGAAAAUGUGGCUCUGGAUACCUUUAUGGGGUUGCACACAUGGAUAAUUAGGAAAAAUAUCUGGAUUUUCAUCUCCUGUUUUUACCACACUUUUGAAUACCAUGAGGAAAGAGAUAUUUAUUGGAAUAAGUAUUAGCAGUGUGAGGACAGAUAAGCUUACAUUUGGAAGUGGGACCACUCUCGCAGUUGAACCAAACAAUCAAAAAAGUUCUGUCCCAGAAGUCCUUGUGAUGUUAUCAGAGAAAGCAGAAAAAGAUAGCAGCAUUGGAAGAGCAGCUUGUUUGGCAAGGAAUGUCAGUACAAAAACCAUCAGCUUGGAGAUGUCCCCUGAUGACGUUGUGUAUGAACAGAGUACACCCGUUUUGACAUCAGAUGGGAUGUACAAUGCCAUUAAGGUGGUCAGUGUGACAGAAGGCACAGACGUGAUCUGCAAGGCCAAAUGCAACGAUGACGUUUAUACAGCCAAUGCAACAUCGACAGAAAAGAAGACUGAAGAACCAGUAACAGAAAAGGUUUGCAACACCACAGACACCUCUGCACAAGCAGAUACCCAAGUGGAGAAAGCAAACAUGCUGUCGAUGGCUGUGUUGGGUUUGAGAGUCCUGCUGGCAAAAAGUAUCGCCUUCAAUACACUCAUGAGUAUCAAGUUGUUUCUUUUCUGAGGCAGUGGGGAAGCAAGGCAACAGCAAUCUGAAGAACAGCAGGAGAGAGCAUGUCCCAGCAGCACAAUGGGUUGAACAGCCAAACAUGUCAAAUCUGCUGGCAAUAACCAUCCAGAACACAACACAGCACCUUCCUCUUAAGAUAUGUUAUACUGUUGAAUCCUGCCUAGCUAGUUUAUAUCAUUGUAAGAGUCGUAACUGCUUUUGCUAUUUCUUUUUCUCUGUGAACUGAGGAGAGUGUAUUUUUCCUCAUCCCCCUGAUAAGUAGAAAUUGAUCUCCCCACUCUAGCCUUUGCGUAGAAGCAUCCAACCUGCUUCAACAGUUUUGAAAAAUCCAAUCCUCACUAUUGAUAUAUGACCCUUUUAAAACACCUUUUACAGGCAUGUUGCAUUACUGUCUGUAGAACUGAUGUAUUACUGCUGAGAGAAUUCAGGCACGGUAGAUGCUAUUUACAGCUUUAAUGUUUAUUAGGUAGCUUUAAUAACAAUAAUUUUCUAAGGUAGAUGAGACAAUCUGUGUUGGAUCUGAAAUGAUUCAAUUCGACCAGAUAAUGUUCAACCAUAGAAGCAUUUCUUUAUUAAACCUGUAUUUCUUCUGCAAAGUGUAUGGCACAUGCAUUUUAGGUGUCUGUAGUAGUGACCAAAAUAAAGUUUUACUAAGCCAAAA